This 73-nucleotide transfer RNA is filed under the name Vulcanimicrobiota bacterium. RNAcentral describes it as "tRNA-Val". It matches the Rfam family "tRNA". From Rfam's summary of the family: Transfer RNA (tRNA) molecules are approximately 80 nucleotides in length. Their secondary structure includes four short double-helical elements and three loops (D, anti-codon, and T loops). Further hydrogen bonds mediate the characteristic L-shaped molecular structure. tRNAs have two regions of fundamental functional importance: the anti-codon, which is responsible for specific mRNA codon recognition, and the 3' end, to which the tRNAs corresponding amino acid is attached (by aminoacyl-tRNA synthetases). tRNAs cope with the degeneracy of the genetic code in two manners: having more than one tRNA (with a specific anti-codon) for a particular amino acid; and 'wobble' base-pairing, i.e. permitting non-standard base-pairing at the 3rd anti-codon position. Lineage: Bacteria; Bacillati; Vulcanimicrobiota. The record is from RNAcentral.
GGGCGAUUAGCUCAGCUGGGAGAGCGGCACCCUUACAAGGUGAUGGUCGGCGGUUCGAUCCCGUCAUCGCCCA